Zingiber officinale is the source of this 809-nucleotide long non-coding RNA. RefSeq lists it as uncharacterized. The record is from RefSeq and is a predicted model, not a curated record. Lineage: Eukaryota; Viridiplantae; Streptophyta; Magnoliopsida; Zingiberales; Zingiberaceae. The transcript is spliced from 3 exons.
UGCCAUCAACUGGGCCGGCGGACUACACCACGCCAAGAAGUGCGAGGCCUCCGACUUCUGCUACAUCAACGACAUUGUCCUCGACAUCCUUGAGCUCCUUAAGUACCACAGGAAGCUCCAUCGACAUGAGGACGUUCUCACAAGGCGGCGACGAGCUUUUUGUUAGCCUUGUUGUAGCUCCUGACAUCUGUAAGCACACAUCAAAAUCUCUCCUUUCCUCUUGUUUUUAUCAGAAUCAAAAGGUUUCAGAACAACAAAUUCCGAAAAGUAAUCUAAGAGGUUCGUGAAGAUCAUAGUCAUUGCUACAACUUUGGGCAUCCUUUUGUUCUUGAUCGUGUCUGUGUUCAUUUGGUGGAGAAGGAAAAGAAUCAAAAGUAUGUAUGCUCAACCACUCAUGUUAAAUAUUGCCGACUAGGUGUAUGAUGAAAUGUCCUUAUGAGUUAUACUUGUUGAUUGGUAUUUAUUUUUCACAUUUAACUACUACAUUUAGAUGUAAGUUUGUUCAAUGACACAUACUCAUUUGCAACACAAAGCAAAGUCAUCGAGGUGAACAAGAAAAAAAACAUCACCUGGCAAAGUGACAAAGAUCACAAAUUUGGCAGUGAUGUCUACCCUAUAUACUUCCAGCAGGGAGGUCUCAUAUGAGGUGCCAAGCUUUGAGCGAGCAAGAAUAUCUCAUUGUUUGGAUGAGGACAGCUGCCUUGCCAUAGUUUAGAAAACUCUAUGGGAGAAUUGAGAGAGACCUCGCAGCCAAUGAACAAAUCUCAAUGAUAAUAGAGAACAACUACAACACUUACAAUUUUGAAGUG